UCUAGAGACUUUACCCCUGGACCUGAGUACUUUCUACUUUCACACCUUCAUGGCUGCUGAUUAGGGAUAUCAGCCAGAGCUGACCACUGGGGUCCCUUUCACCACAUGGAACAUUAACAGAGCAAUAAAUCUCUGCACCUGUUUCUUCAACACACAGAGAUAAGGCAUCAAUAUUACACAUGAGUCCCUGGUCUUGGUAUUUGUGUCUGUUUAGCAGUAAGACCGGAAUUUACAAAGAAUCAAAGUACUGAGAUGUUGAGAAUAAAAGGAAGAUGAAGAACUUCCGCCAGGCAAGAGGCAAAACUGGAGAAGGCUCAAACAGCAAAACGGAACAUGUCAGUUCAACAACAGAUGAGCCAUGCAACAUGGACCAUGUUGGAGAAGAAAUCAUUUAAACUUCUGUUUUUCUAUGUGAAGGCAUCAGAUUUUUUGUUGUGAAUGUUUAGGGCUUAAUCAGUUGAAUAAUUUAU
Dreissena polymorpha is the source of this 470-nucleotide long non-coding RNA. RefSeq lists it as uncharacterized. The record is from RefSeq and is a predicted model, not a curated record. NCBI's taxonomy places the organism in Eukaryota, Metazoa, Mollusca, Bivalvia, Myida, Dreissenidae. The transcript is spliced from 3 exons.